GGCUUGUAGCCCAGUGGUUAGAGCCCCUGCUUUGCAUGCAGGAGGUUCCAGGUUCGAUCCCUGGCAUCUCCA
This is a non-coding RNA of Podarcis lilfordi (Lilford's wall lizard), 72 nucleotides long. The record is from the annotation of a GenBank genome assembly. NCBI's taxonomy places the organism in Eukaryota, Metazoa, Chordata, Lepidosauria, Squamata, Lacertidae.